RNAcentral lists this long non-coding RNA (16811 nucleotides) under Homo sapiens (human). RNAcentral's name for it is "HSALNT0367509". Lineage: Eukaryota; Metazoa; Chordata; Mammalia; Primates; Hominidae. The record is from RNAcentral.
UAGAAAUGCAAGUGGACGAGUGCCAACCCAAUGAGGCUAAUGAUUUGCAAGUGGAGACCUCUGAGCAACUUGGUAAAGAAAGCAGGGCUUGGCCUUCGCCCGGGAGGCUUGGGACCCCUGACCACCCCCUACCCCAUCACCAAUAAACCUCUCAGAAGGAGGAAUUCUGUGACAGCCCUCAGAAGAGAGUGGCUAUCCACUGGCCACAGCGAUGACUAAAGCGAGGUUCAUGCCACAGAAGAACACAAAGGUCACCAAAGCUGUCUAAAGCAGACACUGAAUUUAUUAUUCGCCGAAGAAGGGGAGACACUCAUUUCGUUAAGAAAGGUCAGAACAGCUCUCCAAACUGAAGGUGAAUAGGACAGAUACACUGUGGAAAAGAGGACAUUUUGUUCAAAGGUCUGAUUGGCUCAAAAAGCAAGUUGUAAACUCUCUUCUGGGACUGACUGCUUUUCUGACUUUGUGUCACAGAGGCAUGAGAACAGCUCGUGGGAGAUUCUGGAUGGAUCUGACCUGUGGUGCACGGCCCUGGCAGCCUGGUGUCUGUGCCUCCUCUCGAGGGAUUCCUGAGCCCUGGCUUGUUCUUGAAUUUGCAGGAGCCACAGACCCUUCACCCCAUGCCAACUGACCAGAGGCCUGAUGCUCCUGCCCUCUUCUCUCCCUGCCACUCCAACCAGAAGACCUCUGGCCAGUUGCCAUCCAGGGACCUGGCAUGACCUCCCCAGCCUUUGAGGCAGUGAUCUGGAUGCCCAGAGAGUCAAAUACAGAGAACCAGGGACUGGCACCCCAGCUGUGGGUUCUCAGAGUGGGCUCAUGUGAAGGAGUGAGAAACAAGGAGCACAGGAACCUCUCUCUGGCAGCCCACCCCUCUGUGCCCACGGAACCCGCUACUGAGGGCUCAGCAUGAGGACUGUGUGCAGCCUCUCCUGAGACCCUCACUCACCAGGUACUUGCAGAUUUCCUCCAGGACCUACAUGCAUGUGGUCGCUGAGCGUGGCACGCAGCAAUGGCUGGAUGAGUGAGGACCAGCCAAUCAUGUCAGCCCACACCGCCAGAGCCUUUCCCCAGGCCUAUGGGAUGGAGAGAAGGGAGGCCUCAACCUCACUCCUGUGACUCUCCAGCCAAGGGGCUGAGUGGAAGCCCUUCCGUCAUAAAGAGAGGGCAGAUAUGUUCAGAGCCACCCAGAGGACAAUGUCAAAGAGGUGAAUGUAGAGCCUACAGGCAAGGCUGGGCUCAUGGAAAUGGCCACAGGGAAGGGGCCCUGCUCUCAAGGAAAGGGGACACAUAUCAGGCCUGGCAGUGGCCAGACAAGUGACAGCCAGUGUACCUGGAGCACUUCCAUGUUAUUUUCCUGAAUGCUGAGCACCAAUGAUAUCAGAAGUGUGAAAAAAUUUUGGGGGGUGAUGCCUCCAGGCUUACAUGUUUUUAGUUGCUGCAGCAUGUGGCCCACAGCAGAGGUGGCUGAGAUCCUCACCUUCUCCUGCUCCUGCCAGGAAGCGCAAAGUGGAGAUGAGAGGCAGUGGCUUCCCUGGCCCUGCCUGGCCUGGCUUCCGUCCUUCCACAUCUUGGUCUCUGUGUGCAAGGGGCCCCAGCUGUACUGUGCUUAGCUGAUGCAUAGACAACAUGAUGUGUGUAUGUGAGGGGUUCUCUCUAGAGACCAAGAGCUAAGAAGCCCGUUGAUGAAGGCACAGUGCUAGGAAAUAAGGUCAUCGUUUCAGUUCUACCGUGGACUAUAUCCGCAGCUUGUGACAUUGUUUCCAAAGUGUUCAAGCAAUUCUCCUGGCUCAGCCUCCUGAGUAGCUGGGAUUAUAGGCACCUGCCACCACACCUGGCUAAUUUUUGUAUUUUUAGUGGAGACAGGGUUUCACCAUGUUGGUCAGGCUUGUCUCAAACCCCUGACCUCAAGUGAUCUGCCUCCCAAAGUGUUCUGAUUACAGGUAUGAGCCACAGCGCCCAGCCCUGCACACCUUUAGACCAAGUAUUCAUGUCAUCUACCUGCCUGUCCAUCCACACACUUGGGUACUUACCUUCCUGACACUGGCUUAAUCUGCUAUUUUAUUUUCUUGGCUACCUACUACCUAUGAGUAGGUUUCCUUGCCUUCCCUUGGCACGCAUGUCUUCUGACCUAGACCUCUGAGGUACCAGGGAAUUUCCAAAGUUGCUUCCACAACUUCUUCCCACCUUCCUGAUGGUUUACUCACAGCUUCAGAAGAAGCUCUGUGCUCCAGAAACUGGUCCCCACCCUCACCCUGACAUAUAAGCCAGAGACUUCACAGACUAAGAACAGGUCCCUUCCUCUUCUCCUCUUGUCCUCUUGCACCCUCUAGAGAGCUCUUUCCCUCCAUCACUGGGAAGGUGUAUGUUGGACGGGGUGGGAGGUUGAGGUAAGUGAGUCCCUGCCCUCCUGAUAGGAGAGAAUCACUUAAUGACCAAAGCUCAUUCGCAGAUGCCUGGGGACUUUUCUUGGGGAUGAGCCUUGGAACCUUCUCUUUCCAAAAGCCACAAGGAGAACUGGAGGAGAUUUGUACCUUGGUCCUAAUGACUGUGAGGUAGAACAACCCACAAAGGGUCAUCAGGAAGCUGUGGGUUAAAUCACAUCUCUACAAACUGCCUCCAAGGAGCUUCCAGGUGGCAGUGGAGAAACAUAUCACCUGCCAGGGUACAGAUGCCUGAGAUGGAAGCAUUAGUUUGAUCAGAGAACAAGGGCAGCAGUGGGUGGGAGUGCUCUAUGGAUUCUUCAUUCUCCUAAUUCUUCUCACUGGACAGCACCACUUAUGGGCCUGGUGUGGUGGCUCACGCCUGUAAUCAUAGCACUUUGGGAGGCUGAGGUGGGAGGAUCACUUGAGCCAGGGAGGUCUAUGCUGCAGUGAGCCAUGAUUGCGCCACUGCACUGCAGCCUGGGGGACAGAGUGAGACCCUGUCUCAAAAAUAAAAAGGAGAUUAUGCAGAGGGUCUGAAACGAAAAAGUUUAGCUCUAGAGGUAGACAAUAGAGCAUGGCAAUUGGAAGACUGAAUGUGCUGAGCCACCCUGUACACAAGUCCCUAUAAAAAUCAGAAGAUGUCAUGGCAGGUGUGCCCAAGGACGUGUAGUUUUCUCCUCACGAAAAGAAUGUCUUAAGCACUGUAAAGAGGUCAGUGCAGGGGUGAACAACACCAAUUUAAGCAUUGACAUGUGUUGGGGUUUGUGACGGCUGUGAGAGAUGCAACCAUGACUGGAAUUCCUCACUAUUCCCAGAAAGCUAGUGUGUAGAAGGAGAGGAUACAGCUGAGAUUUGGAAUGACAUGUGGUAGGGAGAAGGGGGAUGUAUGCACGGGUACAGGAGGUCAGUGGGGAGGGGCUUGGGUUAGAGGUGAGGCAAGGGACAAGGGAGGCUUCUUGAGAAAGGGAUGUCUGCACUGCAUUUUGAAGAAUGAGUGGGAAUUUGGAGACUGAGUGUGAGAGGCACUGCAGGCAGUGAAGAACCUGCAUAACAUCCUCUGCCAUAUGCAGGGCAGGGACACCAAGCCACUCUUCUGCAGUAUUGCCAGGCAGCUGCAUCCACUGAUUAAUGAUGUAUGUGCCCAGGUCCCUAGGAUCAGUUGGACACAAUAUGGGCUUAGCUUAGGAUACUGGGUUAGGGCAAGGCACCGUGGUGCGAGGCCUAGGUCACCAAGGGACAGAAGAAAGGAGACUUGGCUACUUGAAGCUGAGCAUAGGACAUGUCCCAAAUGCAUUACUUACUCCAUGCAAUGGAGCACACACUCCUCCACUGACUCACCAGAAUUUUCUGGAGGAGCCACUGGUACCCAAAUAAGAAACCAACUGACUGAUAUGAAGAUGGUUCUGACUCGAAGGAUCUUAUUCUGCAGACUCCACUCAUGGAGUGAAGCGGGGAGAGAACAAGUGGCUCUACCCCCCUCCCAAAUCAUACAGAAGCCUUAGGAUCCCAGGGUCCUCAUGGCAAGAGAAACGUAAGACUCAGAAAGUUGAACUGACCAGACCUGUCCCACUCCUUCUCACAUCUCAUCUUCCUUGCAGGUGACACAAGUUUAGAGCUGGGAAGGACCUGACAUCCCUGAGACACAGGUUUAUGGGACUCCAGCUCUGGCAUCUAUAACUCUCUCAACUUGUGAGCCUUGGAUUUCAACUAUUUUUGUAUUGGUCUCAUCUCCUCUAUGACUUUGGACACCUGCUGGUGGCAAGGCCAAUGUCAGACUCACCUAUCUUUCUGUUAUGUUUAAAAUUUACCAUGUGUACUAUACUUGACUUAACUAAGUCUGAAGAUAAUAUCUUUUUCCUUCCUCCAAAUGAUACAAUCCAUGGAUCUUUGAAUGCUUGAAUUCUGAUCACAGCCUCCCACAUGAUAUACUAAUGUUGCCCAGUAUUAAAAUACUGGGCUAAAGCUCCACCUUUGUAUUUAACCUGUAAAUUUGCUCUUUAUGUCAUCAUCUUCAUGACUGUCAUGAUUUUGUACAGUUAAUACUGGUUUAGAUCUACCCAUAUGCUUACAAAUUUCUUGGCUUAUAUUUCUUUCUUCCAGCUCUUUCCUCCCUUUUAGAUUUAUUUUGUUUUUCCUUCCUUUGUGGUUCCUUCAGUGAGGGUCUCUUAGUAGUAAACAUUUUUAGUCUUUGAAAAUGUCUUUAUUUGGCCUUAUAUUUGUCUCUGCUUUCAGCAGUCUGUGAUGUUUCUAGGCAUACAUUUCCUUGGUUUUAGUCUGUUUGAGGUUCACUGAGCAACUUUAAUCUCUAAAUUGAUACCUUUCACCAAACUUGGAAAGUUUUUACUAUUAUUUCUAGAAUUGUUGUUCAGCCCCACCAUGCUCUUUCUCUUCUUUUAGGACUCUCACGACACAAAUGUUACACCUUUUGUUAUGGUCUCAGGUCACAAGAUACUUUUGGUUUUGAAUCAUUUUUCUCUCUGUUCAGAGUGGAUAAUUUUUAUUGAUCUGUUUUCAAGUUCACUGAUUCUUUCCUUUGGCAUCUCCAUUUUACUAUGGAGCCUACCCAAGCUUAUAUUUUUCAGUUCUAAAGCUUUCCACGGUUUUUCUGUAUGUCUUCUAUUUCUUUGCUGAGACUAUUUCUGUUAUUUCAAGAGUGUUCACCGUGGCUUUUUGGAACACUUUGCACAGUAACCGCUUUAAAGUUUUUAUUACAUAAUUCCAAUCUCUUUCCCCUUGACUUCAGGGCAUGUUCAUUUUCUUCCCAUGUGAGUUGAAAUGUUCCUGGUCCUUUGCAUGCUGAGUGAUUAUGGAUUGAAUCAUAGACAUUAUGAAUAUGAUAUUAUGUGACUGUGGGUCUUCCAAGAGUGUCCUGGUAAUUUUAGCAGGCAAUUGACCUAUUUACCUUCAGGCUGCCAAUCCUGUCAGCCGUCCGCGGGUUGUGAUUCCAAUGCCAGUUCUUGGUUCGAAGCCUCUGCUAUUGUGCAUUUGGGCCACCAGCCAGCCUGGGACCUGGAUAGUAGUCCAUCCUGUAGUUCAGUUCUCAUUGUCUAUGACGUGCUGGUCAGGGUCAGACCUGGGUAUGUAAUGAGCUCGGGAGUUCAUAAACACCUUUAUAGGAUCACUUUCCUCCUCUCUGCCACCUCCCUGGUACUUUACAGUUCCCUGGGGCUCCCCUUCUUCAGUGGCCAGAAAGCUGGGGCUUUUGUUGCUCCACAGUGCCAGGCACUUCUGUGACUGUCCCCACAUCUGGUGCUAAGUGGCAAGCGGCAGAGAAGAAAUAAAGCAAUGGGAAUUUUCCUCAUCCUCUUGGGCCCACAGUGACUGCAAAUGGAGAGGAGGGCUUCCCUCCCUCAGUUUUGUUUUCUGCAGGUUCCCAUGGGGCCUGCUUGGAGGCUGAGGCUUGAGAGACCGAGAGAAAAAGAAACGAGGGAUUUCUUCACUUCCUUUGAGCAUUGUGAAGUGUUUCUGGCUCCUUGGGUGUUACCUAGAGGGAUUCUCUCAGAGCUCUCUCUGUAUCCCGGUGCAUACACCUCCGUUUCUGGUUGUGUGGCUUGCAGGCUGUGGAUCCCAGGAGAUAUUACAACCCAUGCCCUGGGGGGUUAUUGGGACCAGUGAUGCCCUCCAACCCCUAGUAGGUGGAGUGUCAGCAAACUUUUUGUUUUUGGUCCCUAGAGAUUUCUCUUACUCUCCUGCAAGCUCAGCUAUGCAUAUAUAUAAUAUUUUAUCUAGUAUAUCAAGGUGUUUAGAGUAAGAAGGUUGUUAUCUUCCAUAUUGCUGAAUUUGGAAGUCAGGAGCUAUAGUCCAAGUGAGAAGUACUAAGUGGCCAUCACCUACACAGAGGCCACCUGGGGAAAUGGUAAGAGCUGCACCACAGGGCCCCUCAGAUGUGGGUGCUGGGUGCUGCUUUGCCAUUCACCCAGUCAUGUGGAGGGAGGCAGGGCACUGAGGCAAAGCUUACUGGUCUCAUCAUCUGUGAAACUUUCUUCUACUAUUUUGGUUCACAUGCCCUCUUUUCUCUUCUGUCUGUUCCAUUUUUGGAAUUUACUUGGAUUUAUUCUCUAUGUUUCUUAAUUUCUCUUCCAUAUUUCCCAUUUCUUUGUCUACUUUGGAAGAAUUUCUGGGCUGAUUCACUUUUAACGAAUUCACCCUUUAGUUGUGGUUAUUCUGCUAUUCAACCCACCUAUUGAAUUUUCAUUUAACUUUUUGUUUUUCUAAUGCAGAAGGUACUCUAUAUUUUUCUCUUCUGGAUGAUGUUGUGGUAUCUUGAUAGUUAUUUCAUUAUUCUGUGGCGAUAUUGCCUGACCAGUGCCUGUAUUGAUUUAUUUAUUGAUUUAUAUAUAACUUCAAAUUUUGAAUUUCUAAGCACUUUAGGAACUGAACUCAAUAUCUUUUAAGAAAAAGUUUCUGGGGAUUCAAUAGUACUUUCUCUAAAGUUUUGUUCAGAUUUUAUUGUUAACUCCAUCCUUGGAUGGUGGGUUUUCUUUUGGUUUUGCUUGCUUGAAACAGGGUCUGGAUCUGUCACCCAGGCUGGACUGCAGUGGCAGGAUCAUGACUCACGGCGGCCUUAACCUCCCAGGCUCGUGAUCCUCCCACCUCAGCCUCCCAGCUGGUACUACAGGCACAUGUCACCAUGCCUGGCUAAUUUUGCAUUUUUUUGUAGAGAUGGGGAUCACCAUGUUGCACAGUCUGGUCUUGAACUCCUGGGCUCAAGCAAUACUGUGCCUCUGCCUCCAAAAGUGCUGGGAUAAUAGGUGUGAGCCACUGUGCCCGGCUGGAUGCUGGGUGUUGUGUUUCUUGAACGUUUCCUUUCAUCUGUAGUGCUGGUUUUCCUAAAUGUAUAUCGAUCCUUGGUAGUGACUUCUGGCAUUUUUAUACUAGAAUUUCUUGGCUGGCCCUGUGUGAAAGCAACACCCGUGACUGCAGAUGAAUCUUUAGGAUUCACAGUCAAAUGGGUGAACAUCCACCAGAUCCACGAUGAGGAUAUGCAGCUGAUAUGGGAUGGUGAGUCUGGGCCUUGCACCUGGGUUCUGGGUGACACUAGGGGGCGGGGUGAGAGAGAAUGGGGGAUGAAGACAUUUCUUAAGAACAUGGUUCAUCAUUUUAUUUUUACCAUUAUCAAUGUCAUAUAGAAAAGUGGAAAAUGGAGAAAAGUAUUUGGAACGAAUAAAUUAUACAUUGUCCCACUAGUGAGAUAAAAAGACUGCUAAUAUUUUGGGGAUCUCCCCUUCCAGUCCAUGAACAUUUAUAAUGUGCUAUAGGUGCUUACAGUGAAAUGGUGUUCAAGACAGACACAUCCCUGCUCUUCAUAAACUUGCAGUUUUUUGUUUUUUAUUGCACUGAACUCUUCUAACAUUAAUUUAUAUUUACAGAAGAAAAUGCACAAAUACAGUGUCUUUACAAAAGAGUAGAAAUGUGACCAACAAGGGUAAAGUUGCACUCACCCCACUCCACCUCGCUCCUCUGCCCUCCUCCCCUGCCUGUUUGCUGUAGAGUCCUGUGUUCUUUGUCUUUAUAUACAUUCUAUAAAUACACAUAUACAAAUAUAAUUUUUAUUUAUUAGUAGUAUUUCAAUAGUUUUGGGGGAACAGGCUGUUUGCUUAGAUGGAUACAUUCUUUAGUGGUGAUUUCUGAGAUUUUGGUGCACUCAUCACCCAAGCAGUGUACACUGCAUUGAAUGUAUAGUCUUUUAUCCCUCACCACCCUCCCACCCCUUCCCAAGUCUCCAGAGUUCAGUGUAUCUUUCUUAUGCCUUUGCAUCCUCAUAGCUUAGCUCCCACUUAUAAGUGAGAACAUAUGGUGUUUGGUUUUCCAUUCCUGAGUUACUUCACUUAGAAUAAUGGUCUCCAACUGCAUCCAGGUUGCUGCAAAUGCCAUUAUUUUGUUACUUUUUUAUGGCUGAGUAGUAUUUUAUGUUGUGUGUGUGUAUAUAUAUAUAUACACCACAAUUCCUUUACUCACUCGUUGGUUGAUGGACAUUUAGGCUGGUUCCAUAUUUUUGCAAUUGUGAAUUGUGCUGCUAUAAACACAUGUGUGCAAGUGUCUUUUUCAUAUAAUGACUUCUUUUGGGAAGGCAGAUACCCAGUAGUGGGAUUGCUGGGUCAAACGGUAAUUCUACUUUUAGUUCUUUAAGGAACCUCCGUAAGGUUUUCCAUCAUGGUUGUACUAGUUUACAUUUCCACCGGCAGUGUAAAAGUGUUUCCUUUCCACCACAUCCACACCAACAUCUAUUGUUUUUUGAUUUUUAAAUUUUGGACAUUCUUGCAGAAGGAAGGUGGUAUCUGUGGUUUUGAUUUGCAUUUCCCUGAUAGUGAUAUUGAGCAUUUUCUCACAUGUUUGAUGGCCAUUUGUACAUCUUCUUUUGAGAAUUGUCUAUUCAUGUCCUUAGCCCUCUUUUUGAUGGAAUUGUUUUUUUCUUGCUGGUUUGAGUUCCUGGUAGAUUCUACAUAUUAGUCCUUUGUUGGAUGCAUAGUUUGCAAAUAUUUUCUUCCACUCUGUGGGUUGUUUACUCUGCUGAUUAUUUCUUUUUCUGUGCAGAAGGUUUUUUAGUUUAAUUAAGUCUCAUCUAUUUAUAUUUGUUUUUGUUGUAUUUGCUUUUAAGUUUUUGGUGAUGAACCCUUUGCCUAGGCCAAUGUCUGGAAGAAUUCUUCUGUUAGCUUCCAGAAUUUUUAUGGUUUCAGGUCUUAGAUAUAAGUCUUUGAUCCAUCUUGAGUUGAUUUUUGUGUAAGGUGAGAGAUGAGGAUCCAGUUUCAUUCUUCUACAUGCGGCUUGCCAAUUAUCUCAGCACCAUUUAUUGGUUAGGGUGUCCUUUCCCCACUUUAUGUUGUUGUUUACUUUGUUGAAGAUCAGUUGGCUGUAUUUGGCUUUAUUUCUGGGUUUUAUUCUGUUCCAUUGGUCUAUGCACCUGUUUUUAUACUAGUAUCAUGCUUUUUUGGUAACUAUAGCCUUAUAGUAUAGUUUGAUGUUGGGUAAUGUGAUAUUUCCAGAUUUGUUGUUUUUGUUUAGUCUUGCUUUGACUAUGCAGGCUCUUUUUUUGUUCCAUAUGAACUUUAGGAUUGUUUUCUCUAGUUCUGUGAAGAAUGAUGCUGGUAUUUGGAUGGAGAAAAUAAUUUGGAUGGAGCAUUGAAUUUAUAGAUUGCUUUUGGAAGUAUGGUCAUUUUCACAAUAUUUAUUCUACCUAUGCAUGAGCAUGGGAUGCGUUUCCAUUUGUUUGUGUCAUCUAUGAUUUUUUUCAGGGGUGUUUUGUAGUUUGCAUUGCAGAGAUCUUUCACCUCUUUGAUUAGGUAUAUUCCUAAGUUUUUUUUUUAAGCUGUUGUAAAAGGGGUUGAGUUCUUGAUUUGAUUCUCAGCUUAGUCACUGUUGGUGUAUAGCAGUGCUACUGAUUUGUGUACAUUGAUCUUGUAUUCUGAAACUUCACUGAAUUCAUUUAUCAGAUAAAGGAGCUUUUUGGAUGAGUCUUUAGGGUUUUCUAGGUAUACGAUCAUAUCAUCAACAAACAGCAACAGUUUGACUUCCUCUUUACCAAUUGGGAUGCCCUUUAUUUCAUUCUCUUGUCUCAUUGCUCUGGCUAGGACUUCCAGUACUAAGCUGAAUAGAAGUGGUAAAAGUGGGCAUCCUUAUAUUGCUCCAGUUCUCAAAGGAAAUGCUUUCCACUUUUCCCUGUUCAGUAUAAUGUUGGCUAUGGGUCUGUCAUAGAUGGCUUCUAUUACCUUAAGAUUUGUCCCUUCCAUGCUAAUUUUGCUGAGGGUCUUAAUAAUAAAGAAAUGCUGGAUUUGUAUCAAAUGCUUUUUCUGUGUCUAUUGAGAUGAUCACAUGAUUUUUGCUUUUACUUCUGUUUAUGUGGUGUAUCACAUUUAUUAACUCAUAUAUUUUUCAGGGGUUGGGGACAGAGUCUUGCUCUGUCACCCAGUCUGGAGUAUAAUGGCAUGAUCUUGGCUCAUUGCAACCUCCACCUCCCGGGUUCAAAGGAUAUUCAUACCUCAGCCUCACAAGUAGCAGGGAUUUCAGGUGUGUGUCACCAUGCCCAACUAAUUUAUUUGUAUUUUUUAGUAGAGUCAGGGUUUUGCCAUGUUGGCCAGGCUGGUCUCAAACUCCUGGCCUUAAGUGAUCCAACCACCAUGGCUUCCCAAUGUGCUAGAUUACAGGUGUAAGCCACUGUGCCCGGCCUGACUUGUGUAUGUUAAACCAACCCUGAAUCCCUGGUAUGGAGCCCACUUGAUCACGGUGUAUUAUCUUUUUGAUACGCUGUUGAAUUUGGUUAGCUAGUAUUUUGUUGAGGAUUUUUGCAUUGAUGUUCAUAAGGGAUAUUUAUAAAUAUGUGUAUGAAAAGUUUCAGACACUUGUUUGUUUCCCACUGAAAUGUUGGUUCCAACAGAUCUACUGCAUUCCCAGUAGUGUUCCGUGGUAUUGAUAUUCUAGAGUUUAGAAAUCAUUUCCCAUGUAGAUGAACACUGAAGUUGUUCCCAGGAUGUUACUAUUCAAGCAAUACUAGCAUGAACUUUUUUUUAUUGUUAUAUUAAAUUCUGGGGCGCAUGUGCAGGAUGUGUAAGUUUGUUAAAUAGGUAAAUGUGUGCCAUGGUGGUUUGCUGCACCUAUCAACCCAUCAUCUAGGUAUUAAGCCCAGCAUGCAUUAGUUAUUUUUCCUGAUGCUGUUCCUCCCACUGUCCCCAGAACGUUUUUAAAUAUGCCUCCUUAUACACAAUUGUGAAGGGUUCUCCGGGCUAGGUACCAAAAAGUAGACUUUUAUCAUGCAUUCUAAACUUAACAGAGUGUGAAGUAAAACCACAUUAUAACCUUCUGUCCUGUCUUGACACUCAUUCCAAUCACUGUCCUUCCCAAUUACAGGCUUUUGAUGGCCAUUAUUUUAGUUCUAUCUAGCCCAGAAAUUAGAGGCUGUAUUAGUUCGUUCUCACACGGCUAUGAAGAGACUGGGUAAUUUAUUCAGGAAAGAGGUUUAAUUGACUCACAGUUCUGCAUGGCUGGGGAGGCAGGAAACUUACAAUCAUGAUGGAAGGUGAAGAGGAAGCAAGGCGCCUUCUUCGCAAGGCAGCAGGUGGAAGAAUUGCUAGCAAGAGCAGGGAAAUCUCCCUUAUAAAACCUUGAGACCUCGUGAGAACUCACUAUCAUGAGGACGGCAUGGAGGAAACCACCCCCAUGAUCCAAUUACCUCCACCUGAUCUCUCCCUUGACACCUGGCAUUAGGGGGAUUACAAUUCAAGAUGAGAUUUUGGGUGGGGACACAGCCAAACCAUUAUCAGAGGCUAUGACUGCCAUCAUUUUAUACAAACUGUUUAGAUUUACAUACAUUCUUACAUUUCUUUUGCAUGUCUGACCUUCCUUUGAGGCCCAUCCACUUCUCUUCAUUGCAGAGUCAGCUUUUAAAAGUUUCUUUAGUGCUCUUAAGUGAGCUCCCUUAGUUUUUGUUUGAAAUGUUAUUUACUGUCAUUCUUGAAAGACCACUGUACUGAUGACUCAAUUCUAGAGUGACAAUUGUUUUCCCUUGGCACUUUGAAGAUAUUAUAUAGUAUAGUUUUCUGGCUUUCUUUGUCGGUGUGAAGAAGCCUGGGGUCAUUCUAAUUUUUGUUCCUUUGUAGGUGAUCUUUUUUCUCUAGGUGGUUUAAGAUUUUCCUUUUUUUUCGUUUAUUUAUUCACUUUUAUUUUAAGUUCAUUGGUGCAUGUGUAAGCUUGUUAUCUAGGUGAACAUGUGUCAUGGGGGUUGGUUGUACAGAUUAUUUCAUCACCCAGGUACUAAGCCUACUACUCAAUAGUUAUUCUUCCUGGUCCUCUUUCUCCUUCCACCCUCCACCACUUGAUAGGCCCCAGUGUGUGUUGUUCCCCUCUAUGUGUCCAUGUGUUCUCAUUAUUUAGCUCCCACUUAUAAGUGAGAUCAAGCAGUAUUUGGUUUUCUGUUCCUGUGUUAGUUUGCUAAAUAUAAUCGACACUAGUUCCAUCCAUGUCCCUGAAAAAUACAUGAUCUUGUUUUUUUAUUUUAUGGCUGCAAAGAUUUUCAGUUGUGUUUUCAGUGCUCUACAGAAGUAUAGAGAAUGGUAUCACAAACUCCCAUGUGCCCAUUCCCCAGCCACAGCAACUCACGCCACCCGUGUUUUUCUGUCUCCUUACUUACACUGUCUCCCUGCCAGGAUUAUUGUGAAUCAGAUCCCAGACUUCUUAUUGUUUCAUCUAUAACUAUUUUGGUGCAUAUUUCUAAAAUCAUAUUAUUUUAAAAUUGAAACAUUUUUAAAAAUUGUAGUGGGCAAAUUAUAGAGUAAAGUGCAAGCUAGGCACAAAUUUCUAAGAUAAAAGAGAUCCCAAGAUUGUGUAGAAUAGAGAGGCCCUGAGCAAUUCAUCCAGACACCAGAGAUUGCCAGCUCACUCUCAUUUACCCAUCCUGACAUCCAACCCUACCCAUUACAGAGGCUAAGCCAUUUGUCCAAGGUCACAUAGAGAAUGACUGGGAGAAUCAGUAGAAUUCCAAUUCAGGGCUCUUCCCACAGCCCGUGUUCCCUACAUUGUUCUUGAAUCUUCCCAAAGUCCUGAGAAAGAAAAGAGGUAGGGAGUGGGAGUUGUGGCUACGGAGAAAGAGGAGUUGAUAUUUCCAAUGUAUAUCAGAAGCAAACUUGAACUCACCUUUCACAGCCUUCCUUAGCACCAACAGCCAAACACAAAUACCUGUGUUUUAUACAGAAUGCACUUCUGCCAACUCCCACCCUUGCUGUUUACACAAAUUUGUUUCUUAAUUAUUGAAAACCUCCUGUGUGCCAGGUGAUUCUCUAAGCCCUGGGGAUGCUGCACUGAAUUAAGCUGAUGUCCCUGGCUUCAUGCAACUUACAUUCUAGUCAAGGAGAGGAAGCAAGCCCUCAACAAGGGCAUACAUGUCAGGGAAGCACCAUGGAGAAAAUAAAGCAAGGGGAGGGGCUGAGCAGUGUAUGAGGGUGAGGUGACAGAAAUGUCCUCUCCAAUAAGGAGGCACUUCACCAGAGACCCCUGUUAAACUAAAGGACGCAAGAAGGUCAGAAUUUACCUUAAAUAGAGUUGAUUUAGGCACAAACGUUGAGGACAGGCCUGUGUGGGAAGCCCAGAUUCCACAGAAUGGAAGUCUGUAUUCCAAAGUGAAGUUUGGGAUCCUUUAUACAGAGGAAGCUUGGGAAAGCCUAGCAGAAUUUCAACAUCUUUCUGUGUAAGGUUUAAUGCAUCAUUUAAAUGAUCUAAUUAGUCCAGGUGGUCUUUUUCUUUGUGGAAAGGUAGAUUUAACAUUCCUCACUGAAGAUUUAACAGUCUUGGCAUCUCGGGUGUCAUCUGGUCUUAGCAAGGUACACGACAAUAAAGGAGUCAGUUAACCUAUAACAAAGAUCUGGGUUCGGUAGUGGGCAAGGCCUGGUCUCUGGUCUCUCCUACUCAUUCACAGAAGAGGAACAAUGGGGAAGAGAGUUCUCCUUUAAUCUGAGAAGCAGAAUUGGAAACCGGUGGUGCGACUCAGUCUUGGGUCUUAAUAUCCUUCUGGGUGUAAUAAACUUGGAGGGUGCUGAAACAGUAUUUUCUUUGACACCUUGAAGGAAGGGAGAAAGGGAGCUCUAUGGCUCUCUAAGGGAAGAGUCCUUGGCAUGUUCAAGGAUCAAGAAGCCAGUAUGAUGAUCAUGGAGGGAGCAGAAGGAAGAGCAGGAGAUGAGAUGAGAGAAGAGUAGUGGGGCCAGAAUCCUCUUGGGUCUUCUAGGCACAGUCAAGAUUGAGGGUUUUACUUUGAGUGGGAUGGGAGCUCACUGAAGCACAGUUUUUAACUUCUCUAAGAAGGAAGAGAGGGGUGAACAGUGCUUGUGAUAGGGUGUGAGGAUAGUCAGUCCAUUCUAGGACCAAGCAGAAAUAGGUUAUAAAUUACUUGUUCCUGUUUUCCAUGUAACAAUUUCCUUCCUUUGAUGUGGAGACAAAACAGAAAGAAUGUUUGCUUUGGUAGAUCAUCUUCAGCAUCCCUCUGUGCUUAAGGAGGCGUAUGCACAUUGGAAUGUCCUGACAUGAGUGUCCAGGGUGCUGUUGUUGCCUUUUUUGUUGCAAACUCUUGUCCUUGAGGUGUUUGCCUUCUGAUUUGAACCUAAUCAGGGUAUUGAAUACUGUGGCUGCUAAGAGAUCAUAUUUUGCAUAAGCUGCUUUUGAGAGAACGGUGAAUGAUUGACUCCUCAGAGAAAAUGCCUAGCAGACCUCUGCAGAUGGAGAAUUCCUUAUUUCCCAUAUGUGUCAUUCCCAGUUCUUUGUCUAGAGAGUCAAGUAUUGAACUAAACGAUAUUUCAGGGUCCUCUCUCUCCUCCUAGUCAGUGGUGAAAUGGAAAAGCAGGGGCUCCAGAACCAGCCAGAUCAGUUUCCAUACCAGCUCUAUGAGUCAGGACCCUGCAGACUUGGGCACGUGACUUCAUCUCUAGGCCUUUCUUCAUCUGUGUCAUGAGAGUAACAGCGCUGAUCUUGAACAUCGUUGUCAUUAUUGAAUAAAAAUGCACAUAAUGUGCUGAGCUUUGCUGGGCACAUAGAUGUCCCACAAGACAAUUUCAUUGCCUUGAUUCGGGUGUCUAGGUGCGGGCGGGGGAUGAUAUGGAGGGUGGCAGGUAGGGAGCGUCCUUAUAGCUGUAGUCAGGGAAAACUGAAAUAGUCAGUUGCUUCUCCGAGAGCAGCCGUGCCACCUCUGAAGCACGAGUAACUGGCAGGGCUGUCUGUCCCCUUUGGGCUGCAACCUGGCUUCAAUUCUGACCCUGACAUUGUGUGCUUCUGAAGCCUUCUCCUCUUGUUUUGACACCUGAAGUCCCCCUGUAUAUCCUAGACUUCUCAGUCUACCAGAGCAUUCACCUUACUUUCUUCAUCCCACCCUGCCUUUGAUGAUGCCUAAGUCCCCGAGACAGGAGGAAGUCUUCCCCAGAAAGGUACUAUAGCAGCACUUAUACCCAUGUUUAAUGUCCCAGAAACCUUGUGUUCAAGUAAUGCUUUCUCAAGGGUCUUAUGUCUUUUCUGUUAGAGCUUCAGCCCCGUUCUUGUGUUCUGUUCUAAGUGAAUGAAACGAACAUUAUGCUGUAGACAUUGAUGGGUUUGAAGGCCUAAAAUGAACAAGUUUUGUUGAACAAAGAUUCUUUCUCGUCUUUAUCCUUUUCAUGCUAAGGAAUUUCCUGUCUCCAUUUCUUUUGUUCCCACCCUACUCUACACCCUCAUGAUUCCCUAACGGGACCACUUUAACAGCCUCCCAACACCCUCUUCCUCUUCUCUAUACGAUUCUGCUCUUAGCAGCCAGAUUCUCUUUAGAACAUGCAUGCUGGAACAUGCCACUCCUUGCUUUAAACCCCUCAGCAGCUCCCUACUGCUCUUAGGGUCUCAGUCUGCUCCCAUAUUCUCACUCACCCGACUCAGAAUGUCCUGACCUCUGAGGCCUCUCACCCUUAGCCUACACCACUUCCUGCCCCUCUGGGAACUGCAGUCACACUGGUACUUUCUAUGACACAAAGAGACCCCCCACACACACCACGUGGAAGUCUUCUGCCCUUGCCCUGUGUGUUCGUAGGCUGGCUUUCAACUUCGGGUCUGAGCUGGAGCAUCACCUUCUCAGAGAAACAUCCCCUGAUGGGCCUAAGGGCUCCUCCCCCGUCAUUUGGUCUCAGAACUCCCCUCAGCUUCCUCCCUUUUACUUAAUUUGCAUUUAACUGCUGAUUUGUCUUUCCCCCACCAGAAUGCUAACUUCUCAAGGGUGGGAAUCUGUUUUUCUUGUCCUCCCCUGGAUCCCCAGCCCCUAGCAGUGCCUGGUAAUAGUAAGUCCUCAAUAUAUAGUUGCUGAAUGAAUUUAUGAUUACUUUUUAUAACACUGAAAGAUUGCAAAGAAUCUAAUUAUUCAGAAAUAGGGUAUUCACCAAAAAAAUUAUGAUAGAAUUAGUCAGAUGUGGUGGCUCACACCUAUAGUCCCAAUGACUCAGGAGGCUGAGGUAGGAGGAUCACCUGAGCCCAGAAGGUUGAGGCUGCAGUGAGAUAUGAUCACGCCAUUAUACUUUAGCCUGGGUGACUGGUUGAGGCCCUGUUUUUUUUUUUUUAAAAAAGUUAUGGUAGAAUCAUGUGAUUGCCUGUUAUGCUGUAUAGAGGAAUAUAUUAUGGAAUGAAAAAAAUUACUAGUCCUAUUUUGUGAAAAAAAAAUCUAUCAACAUUCGGUUGUUUUUUGUUGUUGUUUGUUUGUUUGUUUUUUUGGUUGCUGUUUUAAAAAAAGACUGCAAGGACAGCUACCAAAUAUUAGCAGUGUUAUCUCUGGGGUGAGUGAUUUUUCUUCUUUUCCUUAAAAAAAAUUGUGUAUUAAGUAUUUCCUACAGUGAAACAAGUAUUGCUUUUAUAGUGGAAACAUGAUUCUAAGCAGAGCUGUGCAAUGCUGACCUGGCAUGGGGUGGG